AAAGAGAAUUUACAAAAGAAACCAAUAAAGCAAAAUUGAUGAGUCUUUUUCACAUAUACAAUAAUUGGUCACAGGUGUGUUGUUUGCUUUUUGUAACCAUGGGCUAGCAGUGCUCUUGCAAUUGCGUCUACACCAUGAUUUUAAGGAUAAAUCCUUCCUUGUAUCACGGAUAUCUUGUUUUCAGCUGGCUUUUGGUGCCAACAGGUCCACAGCUUCUUCUGCUGUGUUCACGCUCUUCUGUAGGCUGUAAAAGAUGACAAAUUAGAGAUCUUUCGAGAUGAUGUCGGCUUCAAUUCAAUAAACCUUUUCCUGGGAAUUAUAGAACCAGGGGUCAAGGACAUUACUGAGAUUUCCUUCAUUAAAGACAACAUCUUGAUGAUUGCAUGUGUUUGAGCUUUCUUUGUUUUUUUAUCAAUCAUCCCUUCAAAAAAACACACACUAACUAACACCAAACAUUUAGCUUCAGUUUAAGGAGUCAUACUAAUCCACUUUUGUCUUGUUAGUAAUGACAAGCAUAGCAAUUAUAGUUUAACAACACCCUCUAUUUCCAUUCAACAAUUUUCAAUUGCUUUCAAUUGCUUCAACAUUUUCUCAAUUUAGUAAAGGACUUCUAGGAAUUCUUUAUGAGUAUCUAGUACAUUUUAAAUCCCAAAACCAUUAUUUAUAUGAAUUAUUCAAUAUUAUAGUGUAGUUUGUUUUUUUUUACUUCACAUUCUGGCUUUCAGAGCCAAUCAAUUUUGCAACAGGUGUUCACUUCUUGUGGUGGGGAUCACAAGAGGACAAAAUAGGAAUGGUUCUUGAGGUUUCAAACCAAGGAAGGUAUCCAGAGGGUACCCUACAUGGAAAUUGAACCAAACAUCUCUAAACUGAAUGAGGUCACACCACCCUAAAUCUAUGUUGAGCCACACA
Molecule: long non-coding RNA, 909 nt
Filed under: Phaseolus vulgaris (common bean)
Lineage: Eukaryota; Viridiplantae; Streptophyta; Magnoliopsida; Fabales; Fabaceae
Description: long non-coding RNA (PVUL_LNC004013)
Source: RNAcentral